CGAACGUUAGCGGCACGCUUAACACAUGCAAGUCGAGCGAGAACGGGCUUCGGCCUUAUUACAGCGGCGCACGGGUGAGUAACACGUAGGCAAUCUACCCUCGAGUGGUGGAUAACCUCCCGAAAGGGAAGCUAAUACAGCAUAAGACCACCAGCCUUCGGGCGAGUGGCCAAAGCGGAGGACCUCUUCGGAGGCUUCGCGCUUGAGGAUGAGCCUGCGGCCCAUCAGCUUGUUGGUAGUGUAACGGACUACCAAGGCUAAGACGGGUAGCUGGUCUGAGAGGAUGAACAGCCACACUGGAACUGAGACACGGUCCAGACUCCUACGGGAGGCAGCAGUGGGGAAUCUUGCGCAAUGGGCGAAAGCCUGACGCAGCGAUGCCGCGUGAGCGAUGAAGGCCUUCGGGUUGUAAAGCUCUGUGGAUGGAGAAGAAUAAGCUGUAGUUAAUACCUGCAGUGAUGACGGUAUCCAUUUAGCAAGCACCGGCUAACUCUGUGCCAGCAGCCGCGGUAAG
RNAcentral lists this ribosomal RNA (514 nucleotides) under uncultured bacterium. RNAcentral's name for it is "bacterial SSU rRNA". It matches the Rfam family "Bacterial small subunit ribosomal RNA", at positions 30 to 524 of the family's 1533-position model. The record is from RNAcentral.